GGAUGUUUCUCAGAACUCCUGUCUCCUCUCUUCCCCAUCAUUUUCCCUGUUUUGAGAGGGAAUUAGGUGCAUCUCUGCAGUCAAGGCUGAAUGGAAGGAGACUCUGUUUAAGGGAAAGAGCUGUGUGCUCUCCUACUAAGAAAUACUCUGUGAUGGGAGAAUUGUCUCAACUGCUACUACAAGCAUUUAUGGGAGGUGAAUGAAAUUGUGGAUUAUCAUAUGUAGGCUAAAGUGAGAAACAUCUGCUCCCGGCAGCACAAAUCUGCUUAAGAAAAGAUGAUCAGUAUUGAAGAAACUUCAUAUGGAAUUUAUUUUCUUUAUGGCAAAAGCUAGCUAUGUGGGCAAAGAAAUUACCCUUGUUUCAAUUGCUGACAGAUACUGUCCAAACUGGACCAGCAGCGUGCAAAAAAGGAACUGCCAAACUUUGCCAA
Molecule: non-coding RNA, 431 nt
Organism: Peromyscus maniculatus bairdii (prairie deer mouse)
Lineage: Eukaryota; Metazoa; Chordata; Mammalia; Rodentia; Cricetidae
Source: RefSeq, a predicted model, not a curated record